Molecule: long non-coding RNA, 469 nt
Organism: Herpailurus yagouaroundi (jaguarundi)
Lineage: Eukaryota; Metazoa; Chordata; Mammalia; Carnivora; Felidae
Exons: 4
Source: RefSeq, a predicted model, not a curated record
AUGCUUAUCUACUCAAUAUCACAAAGUAGCAUCGCAUCCUUGUCCAAAGGAGCCUAAAGGGGUCCCAAAGCUUUCAAAGACAUCCACAGGCAGGAAGAAAGAAAAAGACAGUUCUUAUCAUAUGUUUUUUGCUCUCUCUUUUUUUAAAUCACAGAUUGAAAUAUUUUCUAGAAGCUCCUGACUUGCCCUCAGAUGUCACUGGACAGAAAAGGAUCUUAUAUAUACAUCUGAGUCCACACUGACAUUAUUUCCAUUGUGACUGGAUCAGAGAAGUUGUGAAGUUUAAGCAGUCAUCUAGGAACAAAAGGAUCCAAAGUUUGCUACACACUUAAGAACAGGGCACAAAGGAAUUAAGGCCCUGGGAGCAGUUCUUUAGAAAAAGGUGAUUCUCAUUGGCUGAACUCAACAGCAAACCAAAGGGCAUGCAAGUUUAUUGAUACAAUCAAUAAAGUUCAGGUGAAGGGCACAG